Dalotia coriaria is the source of this 1977-nucleotide long non-coding RNA. RefSeq lists it as uncharacterized. The record is from RefSeq and is a predicted model, not a curated record. The transcript has 9 exons. Lineage: Eukaryota; Metazoa; Arthropoda; Insecta; Coleoptera; Staphylinidae.
CUGAAAAGCGUCUGCUCAAAGUCUCAAAGUUCAACGCGUUUUCGCUUGGCCGUUCGUGGCUCGUGCGCCAGCGGCUUCGUUUUGAUUUUAUUUUGAAAUUUAUGGACGAAAAUAAAACUUUGCAUGUUGGUGGCACGUCGCAUGUCAUGUUCUGUACUCGAUUUCAGUGGGUUAUAGUUUGGUCUGUAUCCAUUAAUUUCCUUUAUUACUAUUAUAAUUAAAAUAUCAUCAGGUACAAAACUUUCUAAUACAAAUUGUGAUGGCCAAGCGAUAUUUCUAUUUAUAGAUAUUGUUAGCAUAAAAUAAAUUUAAUUAGAAAAUAUUUAGCUCUUAUUGAUUAUUAUCAGAUAUAAGCAAUGAAAAGGUUUGAUAAUAUCUUUCAAUGCUUUAAAAUAAAUGCAACAACUACCAAAUACAAAUAAUUAAGAAUUAAGUAUCAUAUAGCAUAAAUACAAGUACGUAAAAGUGCCAACAUUCCUGUUGCUCCCAAGUAAUAUAUUUUAUUACAUGCACAUUAAUUAUUACUUGCACUUGAACAGCUAAACUAAAGUUUAAGUACUCGAUUAACGCGUUUCUAAAAUGAAGUUAACCCAUUCCGAUAAUGAUAUGAUUAGUGAUUGUACUUUACUCGAAACUGCCCAUUCAAAUAGUUUUUCAAAUCAAAUUAGCGCUGAUGGUGACAAUAAAUAUUAUUAUUAAUUUAUUUAUUUUCGACGGUAUGUCUGGAGUACAGAUAGGUACCCUAGCGGUUGUUUAUAAAAUAUCGUGUUUUAAUUUUGAAUUGAUAAGUAGGUUAAAUUAUGACUAGUCGCUUGAUAAUUCAAUAUGAAUUGAAGAUUUAUGUGUCAACUUAACCCAGUUUAACUGGGUAAUACUCAGUUUCUAGAUUUCAAUAAUUUCGCUCUUGAAUAAACGUGUCCAAUUCAUUGAUUUUAUUCUUUUUUCUUACGCACUUUUCUUUGAAUUGGCUAUCUUGCAUGCGACCUUGUUUGUUGCAAAUAGUGCGCGCAGUAGGUAUUACCGUAUGCCGCCGUUGAUUCCGCAGUUUUGUGCCGGUGUCUAGUUGGGUUGGACGUGUUUCUCACGGCUUUUAUCGUUGUAUUUUGAGUUUGUAAUUCGGUAAAUUGCGUUCAUUUUGAUUGUCCAUCGACUGCAUUUAGUUAUUACUGACGGGUGUUUAGUGUUUUAUUUUUAGAUAAUCGGAUGUCAAAUAUACCUACAAAAUCGUUAAUUUUCUUUCCGUUUGUGGUGCGUAUUGCAAGAUGGCCGCAUGCUAUCAACUUGUUUACAGUGCACGCUCGCGAGAUACAGGUAGCAUGAACCUGCAACUUCUUGCAACAUGCGUUGUGAUAUUAUUUCUUUUAAUCGCGGCCUAUCUGUGUCGUUGUGUUUGGUAUUUUGCUCCGGGGACAUGGACAACAUUCCUCAUUGAAGCCGUGAAAGAAUGUUCUUGGUGAAUUCUGCACCAAAUAUUUACCCGAGGGUCAUCUUCUGGCGCUUUUCGUUUUUCAAGGGAUUUUGAACCCAGUCUGACAUCGUAGAAGGAUCAUUCUUGUAUCAGAUGGGAUUUUGCACCCGAGUCUGACACCGUAGAAGGACCAUUUUUGUAUCAGAUGGGAUUUUGCUCCCGAGUCUGACAUCGUAGAAGGUUCAUUUUUGCAUCAGAAUGGAUUUUUCACCUGAGUCCGACAUCGUGGUAGGACCAUUCUUGCAUGAGAUUGAUUUUGCACCUGAGUCUGACAUCGCGGAAGGACCAUUCUUGCAUGAGAAUGGAUUUUGCACCUGAGUAUGACAUCGUGGAAGGACCAUUCUUGCAGGAGAUUGUAUUUUGCACCUGAGUGACAUCGAAGAUGGACCAUUCUUGCAUCAGAAUGUAUCUUAAAUAACUUUAGUGAUUAUUACACAAAUUGACUUCCAAAAUGUAUGCUUGUGUGUUUUCUUUAGUAAAGAAUAUUUUUUAAGUUUUUUUGAUUAAAA